UGCCAGAGUGUCACAAUAUAAUUGGUCAAAAAGUUGUUUUUAACAUUCUCAUUGGAUAACCUUUAUCAGUUUCCUCCAUGCUUACUUCAUCCUGCUGUGUGUCUACAUCUCUGAAAGUUCUUUUA
Long non-coding RNA from Athene cunicularia (burrowing owl), 125 nucleotides. RefSeq lists it as uncharacterized. The transcript is spliced from 4 exons. The record is from RefSeq and is a predicted model, not a curated record. NCBI's taxonomy places the organism in Eukaryota, Metazoa, Chordata, Aves, Strigiformes, Strigidae.